CCCGGGCGUUGCCACGGCAGCGUUCGUAUCAUCGCGCCGGCGCCGGGGAACGGCAGUCAGUUGCAGUCGGCGGCCGGAGCGGUGCUGACGGCUGUUCUCCAUCUGGAGAGGAGCGGUGAUUUUCUUGGUGACCGUCGCCGAGUCCCAGGAGAGCCUGUUCCAGACGAGGAUUUCUUUCCUGUCACCUUUCCCCUGCACAAGCAGCUGAGGAUCAGGUAAUGAGACAAUGCGCCCUGAGGCGCAGGUGGUUGUGAAGGUGGCAGGGAAGCAAUGGUCUUUUCUGAUGUCAGGUUGGGGAUUACUAAUGUUUUCUUCCAAGCGCGUGAGCCGUGCAGAGGAGCCCAAGUCACUCUGGAGGCCAAGCCCUGAAUAGCACCUGAUAGGAAUUGCUUGUGCUAAUUUAACCUUGUCUGUGUAUUUUAUUUUUGAUUCAGACCAUCUCUGCCUGCCCUGGUGACUCCAGGUUGCCAAAUCCUUCCUGCUCCAGGUCCCCCUAUCCAGCCAGGACGGAUGGCAUCUGGCACCCCACCAGUGUAGAGGCAACAACCGUUGUUGGUUAAGGAGAUACCGUGUUAGAUAUACUUAGGGUGCAAAACAUGGGUACAGGCCUUGUCUGGAAAAAAGGAACUGGGUAAGAAAAGGUUGAGGGAGCACGCCUUCUGAGAAGAGAGGCCAAGAGCAGCCAUGAGGGGCAAUGCGCCUGUACAAGUUUAUCCAGUUUUGCCACCGAGGGCUGUAAGGGGAAAUCAGGGAGGGGCAGUUAUGGCUGGGAGACAGGAAGGGAAGGGGGAAGGAGGAGGGAUGCAGGAGAAAGGGAAGUGCUUUAAUGUGUUUGUAGGGGAAGGGGCAGUGCACGACGGUGUAUUCCAACAAGUCUCCUAAUACAUGGCAGAGUCCCCUUCCAGGUACAGGAGAGAUCCACCUAGCUACAUCAACUGAGACACCCAGCAGCUGCAGAGACUCCUGGGAGGCAGGACCCGUUGAGGCCAAGGACCACAGAAGAAGGCGAGGAACCCAGCCAGAGGGACUGCGAGACUCUACCUAGCAGUCCGCCAGCCCUCCAGGGCAAGAUGGAGAGGCUGAGGUGGAUCCUCAGAAAGAGGACGGCAAGAAUGGCCCCAGGACAGGAGAAGGACAGGAAGAAACCUGAGGAGGAGGAGCAGGUCGGCCACCACCAGGCAGAGGCUGCAUCAAGGAAGGGCAGGUGGUGGCACUGUCUCGUGGGCUGGACAAGAAGGGCACCUCCAGCAGCCACAGAAAAGCAGGGAGAGGAGCCAGUCAGGCCCCGAUGGAGGUGGCCCAGGAUACAGCUGGGCAGGCAGGGCCCAGCACCAACAGAGACCCCGGCACAGCCCCCGCGCAGCUCCAGCCCCAAACUCAGCAGCCAGGACCCCAGCGCUGAAGCCCAGCCGAAGGCCACUCCACGUGUGGCCUGGGAGGAGAAGCCAGGCUCCCCAGGGCAGGAGCUGCACAGGCCCUGCUUCAAGCUGGGCUCCAGCUCCUCCAGGGAGGACAGCGACAGCCCCCAGGAGGCUGUGGGCCUCCAGCAACAUGCUGCCACCGCCAGAGGUGAGGUG
Long non-coding RNA from Alligator mississippiensis (American alligator), 1577 nucleotides. RefSeq lists it as uncharacterized. The transcript is spliced from 3 exons. The record is from RefSeq and is a predicted model, not a curated record. NCBI's taxonomy places the organism in Eukaryota, Metazoa, Chordata, Crocodylia, Alligatoridae.